RNAcentral lists this ribosomal RNA (495 nucleotides) under uncultured bacterium. RNAcentral describes it as "partial 16S ribosomal RNA". It matches the Rfam family "Bacterial small subunit ribosomal RNA", at positions 28 to 507 of the family's 1533-position model. The record is from RNAcentral.
GAUGAACGCUGGCGGCGUGCCUAAUACAUGCCAGUCGAACACUGAAGGCGGAGCUUGCUCUUCUGGAUGAGUUGCGAACGGGUGAGUAACGCGUAGGUAACCUGCCUGGUAGCGGGGGAUAACUAUUGGAAACGAUAGCUAAUACCGCAUGACAACAGUUAUUGCAUGAUAACUGUUUAAAAGGGGCAACUGCUCCACUACCAGAUGGACCUGCGUUGUCUUAGCUAGUUGGUGAGGUAACGGCUCACCAAGGCGACGAUACCUAGCCGACCUGAGAGGGUGAUAGGCCGGACUGGGAGAGGGACACGGCCCAGACGCCUACGGGAAGGAGCAGUAGGGAAUCUUGGGAAAGGGACGGGAGUCUGACCAAGAAACGCCGCGUGAGGAAAGAAGGAUAUCGGAUCGGAAAGCUCUGUUGUAAGAGAAGAACGAGAGUGAGAGUGGAAAGUUCAAACUGUGACGGUAGCUUACCAGAAAGGGACGGCUAACUACGUG